CUUUCACUGAAAAUAGUUAAAACAGAUGAAACUGGAAGACGUUAUUCACAUUAGCUCAUCUAAACGUUCAGCUUUUGUCUCGAUUAAGUUCAGGAACUUGCGGAACUUUGUUGGGGAAGAAUUUUCCGCUUGGUUUCAGUCACGGAAUCUGAUUACAUAGCCACAUCAACUAUCAAUUUAGCGAAAUCCUGAUACAACUGGGUAUUUUGGGCCGACGUAGAGACUCGAGUAGCGAUUUAUAUCUGCAAUAUAAGCACUAGGUGUAUAGGUAUCGGAUAAUAGCUAUUGUGGGAAACGCCAAGGACAUUUCGGAGCUGCCACUCGCCGAUCGAAGCGCGGAACAUACAGCGUGUUAACUCAGGCGUAAAAGUAAUUUAGAUGCUGCUCCAAGAAGCCGUGCACACGCGUACACAUUCGACUGCACGUGAUUGUGUACGUGCAGAUUUUUCGGCUCGGAUGAAAUUAUUUACGCGAUGCAGGUAUGUGUAGAGAAGAGGCUCGUUACGUAAUUUCACGAGCAAAUAACUAGACGGACGAGGUAUCGUUAGCCGUUUACUGGAAAUACAGUCGAUGUAAGUGAAACUUGAGAUAAUCCUGACAUUAUCAAGUGAUUUACGGCAGUCGAAGCAGCCAAACCUCCGCACAAGUUUCUCCACGUUGAAAUAUGCGGCAAUGCGUGUGUUCCAGUGUGUUUUUUUAAUUACGCGCAACACCGUCAGGGAGUGGGACGUAAUUGAUAUGCAAAAUACUCGCAAGAAUGUGCGGCUGACGCGUCACGAUGAUUUGCAGACUGCGUCAAAUCGAUCGGAAACACUCAGACCUCGCUGCACGUCAACACGUAAUAUGCAUCACUCGUGCUUGGAAGAGGCUCAACCCAAUAAGCGUCACAGUUGCUUCUAAGGGAAUGACAGAAAGGGACAGAAAGUACACACGAUUCGUAUGCAAGUCGCGUGACUCGAGAAAACAAGUUCUUCAGCUUGUCCGAGUCUCCGUCUUUCCCACUGCUGAUCCACUCAACGAAGGGAUAUCUCCGUCUGCUGCCAGGAUUACUAAUUCAUGGUCUUCCCGAAGCACCAUAGAUUUUUAAAAUUACAAGGAUAGCAAGUGGCAGCGAUCGGGUCAGGGCGUAACGAUCCUCCCAAAAAGGUGGAGAAACAUUGAACAGAAAUAGAAUAAUCGAUGGCUCCUGAGAAAUGGUGUUACCGCUGCGUCAAAUAUGGAAGUACACGAGGACACAUUUUGCAUGAAAUUUUCUGCAGACGCUCCACGGUUAAGGAGUUAUUUCGGUCAUUUGUUGAAUCCCUCUGUGCGUGCCGCCCGAUGCUCCCACUUUAAUUAAGUCUCCUGUGGUUCCUGCGGCUGGCCUGGCAUUGAGACGGGAAGAACAAGGCUACGAAUCUCUGCCCUCGCAUCUGUACUAAGAAUCAAGAUUCGAUCCGUUUUUCCUCACGACCAGCAUACCGCUCGGCAACCUCAGUCAAUCCGAAAUGUGUCACCUCAUUUCGCACGAGAACGUCAUAAUAUAUUAUAACAAAUGUUAUAAAAAUACACGGUCUCGCUGGGAAUAAAUUCUGUCAAUUACGAGUGAAAAUAAAUAAUCCCAACAUAUGAGUAACAUAGAAAACUUUUUACUUCGUACCGAAAAUAAAUACCAGGGCGUCCAGCAUUACUCGAAGUCUUGAGAGUUCCAGAAACAUGUACGGCAAAACUUCGUGUGAAAAUUUCAUGUUCUACUCAUGCCAUGAAAAGUUUUUAAAUGAUUUUGUAAUAAUUUUUCACCCUUUUACGUACCUACGCAUUAAAGGAAGCAAGUAUAACUUCUAAUUCCAAUUACUUAAAACUUGUGAAGAAGAAUGAUGUAGAAUAAAAAUCAUAUUUCGUUCAACAGUAUUACUUUAAUCAUCAAGUAUCUAUAACUCGGUACCGAAGUCAAGGAAGCUGUGCGAUAAAAAAGAUUAAAAAAACGUGUUUCUAUCAGUAUGGUAUAGUAAAAAUUAGUAUAGUAUAAAAAAAAAAGUAAUGUAGAGCCUGUGAAAUAAAUAUAUAAAAAAA
Neodiprion virginianus is the source of this 2052-nucleotide long non-coding RNA. RefSeq lists it as uncharacterized. NCBI's taxonomy places the organism in Eukaryota, Metazoa, Arthropoda, Insecta, Hymenoptera, Diprionidae. The transcript is spliced from 3 exons. The record is from RefSeq and is a predicted model, not a curated record.